GAGUUUGAUCAUGGCUCAGGAUGAACGCUGGCGGCAUGCCUAACACAUGCAAGUUGAACGAGAAGUUCUGGAGGGAGUCUUCGGACGAACGAAGGAAUGGAAAGUAGCGAACGGGUGAGUAACGCGUGGGCAACCAACCUUACACAGGGGGAUAACGCAGAGAAAUUUGCGCUAAUACCGCAUAAGCGCACAGUGCCGCAUGGUACAGUGUGAAAAACUCCGGUGGUGUAAGACGGGCCCGCGUCUGAUUAGUUAGUUGGUGAGGUAAAAGCUCACCAAGGCGACGAUCAGUAGCCGACCUGAGAGGGUGAUCGGCCACAUUGGGACUGAGACACGGCCCAAACUCCUACGGGAGGCAGCAGUGGGGGAUAUUGCACAAUGGAGGAAACUCUGAUGCAGCAAUGCCGCGUGAAGGAAGACGGUUUUCGGAUUGUAAACUUCUAUCAGCAGGGAAGAAAAUGACGUACCUGACUAAGAGCCCC
RNAcentral lists this ribosomal RNA (482 nucleotides) under Lachnospiraceae bacterium canine oral taxon 073. Its description in RNAcentral is "bacterial SSU rRNA". It matches the Rfam family "Bacterial small subunit ribosomal RNA", at positions 9 to 493 of the family's 1533-position model. Lineage: Bacteria; Bacillati; Bacillota; Clostridia; Lachnospirales; Lachnospiraceae. The record is from RNAcentral.